Molecule: long non-coding RNA, 866 nt
Organism: Antechinus flavipes (yellow-footed antechinus)
Lineage: Eukaryota; Metazoa; Chordata; Mammalia; Dasyuromorphia; Dasyuridae
Exons: 3
Source: RefSeq, a predicted model, not a curated record
CUCGUAGCUUCCCCUUCCAGCCUUCUAAGUAUACAUCGUAUUACAGAUUGAGAGUUGGGUAGGGAUCACGGGACAAUAGAGGCGACAAAGUCAAUCGGUAGAAAGCACUUGUCAUAAGACCCAAAGAAAAAGAACUUGGAAUCAACUUACAGAAGAAAAAGUAUAAUAGAGAAAAAAAGCUCAAGCAGGAUGAAUACAGAGAGGCUUGGAGAGACUUACAUGAACUGAUGCUAAGUGAAAUGAGCAGAACCAGAAGAUCAUUAUACACUUAAACAACAAUACUGUAUGAAGAUGUAUUCUGAUGGAAGUGGCUAUCUUCAGCAAUGAAAGAAUCUAAUUUAAUUCCAAUUGAUCAUUGAUAAACAGAACUAGCAAAAGAACACUGGGAAAUGAGUGUGGACUGCUUGCAUUUUUGUUUUUCUUCCCAGGUUAUUUUUACCUUUCUAUAUCUGAUUUUUCUUGUGCAACAAGAGAACUGUAUAAAUAUGUACACAUAUAUUGUAUUUAAGAUAUACUUUAACAUGUUUAACAUGUAUAAGACUACCUGCCACUAGAGGAGGGGGUGAAGGGAAGGAAGGGAAAAGUUGGAACAGAAGUGACUGCAAGAGUCAAUAUUGAAAAAUUACUCAUGCAUAUGUUCUGUUAAUAAAAAGAUAUUAACUUUGAUCAUCCUUCUCCCCCAGUUUUUCUUUCUCCCCUCUCCCCCCAAGGCAAUUGGAAUUAAGUGACUUGCUUAGGAUUACAUAGUUUAUAAAUAUUAAAUUCUGAUUUCAGGUCUUCCUGGCUCCUGGGCCAGUGCUCUAUCCAUUGUACUACCUAGCCACCCUACCCUAAUUUUCUUAAUAAAUUUCUCUAUUUCCCUUCCA